CCUACGGGUGGCAGCAGUAGGGAAUCUUCCACCAUGGGCGAAAGCCUGAUGGAGCAACGCCGCGUGGGUGAAGAAGGUCUUCGGAUCGUAAAGCCCUGUUGUUAGCGAAGAAAGUUCGUGCGAGUAACUGUUCACGUUUCGACGGUAUCUAACCAGAAAGCCACGGCUAACUACGUGCCAGCAGCCGCGGUAAUACGUAGGUGGCAAGCGUUAUCCGGAUUUAUUGGGCGUAAAGGGAACGCAGGCGGUCUUUUAAGUCUGAUGGGAAAGCCUUCGGCUUAACCGGAGUAGGGCAUUGGAAACUGGGAGACUUGAGUGCAGAAGAGGAGAGUGGAACUCCAGGUGUAGCGGUGAAAUGCGUAGAUAUAUGGAAGAACACCAGUGGCGAAAGCGGCUCUCUGGUCUGUAACUGACGCUGAGGUUCGAAAGCGUGGGUAGCAAACAGGAUUAGAUACCCGGGUAGUC
Molecule: ribosomal RNA, 465 nt
Filed under: uncultured bacterium
Lineage: Bacteria
Description: partial 16S ribosomal RNA
Rfam family: Bacterial small subunit ribosomal RNA
Source: RNAcentral